RNAcentral lists this unclassified non-coding RNA (329 nucleotides) under soil metagenome. RNAcentral describes it as "partial contains 5.8S ribosomal RNA, internal transcribed spacer 2, and large subunit ribosomal RNA". The stretch from base 1 to 120 matches the Rfam family "5.8S ribosomal RNA", at positions 35 to 154 of the family's 154-position model. The record is from RNAcentral.
GAUGAAGAACGCAGCGAAAUGCGAUAAGUAAUGUGAAUUGCAGAAUUCAGUGAAUCAUCGAAUCUUUGAACGCACAUUGCGCCCCUUGGUACUCCGAGGGGCAUGCCUGUUCGAGCGUCAUUAUAACCCCUCAAGCUCAGCUUGGUGUUGGGGCCUGCUGCACUGGCAGCCCUUAAAAUCAGUGGCGGCGCCAUCUGGCUCUAAGCGUAGUAAUUCUUCUCGCUAUGGAGUCCUGGUGGAUGCUUGCCAUCAACCCCCAAUUUUUCUAUGGUUGACCUCGGAUCAGGUAGGGAUACCCGCUGAACUUAAGCAUAUCAAUAAGCGGAGGA